CCCACUGUCGUUGAAAAGCCAGGGGAUGACUUGUGGAUAGGAGUGAAAGGCUAAUCAAACUCGGAGAUAGCUGGUUCUCCUCGAAAGCUAUUUAGGUAGCGCCUCGUGUAUCACCAUAGGGGGUAGAGCACUGUUUGGGCUAGGGGGUCAUCCCGACUUACCAACCCCAUGCAAACUCCGAAUACCUAUGAGUGCGAGCACGGGAGACACACUGCGGGUGCUAACGUCCGUUGUGGAGAGGGCAACAACCCAGACCGCCAGCUAAGGUCCCAAAUUCAUAGUUAAGUGGGAAACGAUGUGGGAAGGCUUAGACAGCUAGGAGGUUGGCUUAGAAGCAGCCAUCCUUUAAAGAAAGCGUAAUAGCUCACUAGUCGAGUCGGCCUGCGCGGAAGAUUUAACGGGGCUCAAACUAUGAACCGAAGCUGCGGAUAUAGAUUUAUCUAUAUGGUAGAGGAGCGUUCUGUAAGCCGUUGAAGGUGAAUCGAGAGGUUUGCUGGAGGUAUCAGAAGUGCGAAUGCUGACAUGAGUAACGAUAAGGGGAGUGAAAAACUUCCCCGCCGGAAGACCAAGGGUUCCUGCGCAACGCUAAUCGGCGCAGGGUGAGUCGGCCCCUAAGGCGAGGCUGAGAAGCGUAGUCGAUGGGAAACAGGUUAAUAUUCCUGUACUUCUUUAUAUUGCGAUGGAGAGACGGAGAAAGCUAGGCCAGCAUGGCGAUGGUUGUCCAUGUUUAAGGUUGUAGGCUGGGGGAUUAGGCAAAUCCGGUCCCCUAAGGCUGAGAACUGAUGACGAGAUCCUACGGGAUUGAAGUGGUUGAUGCUCUGCUUCCAGGAAAAACUUCUAAGCUUCAGAUAUAAAGAAACCGUACCCCAAACCGACACAGGUGGUCAGGUAGAGAAUACCAAGGCGCUUGAGAGAACUCGGGUGAAGGAACUAGGCAAAAUGGUACCGUAACUUCGGGAGAAGGUACGCUGCUGCCGGUGAUGGGACUUGCUCCCUAAGCUAGCGGCAGUCGAAGAUACCAGUUAGCUGC
This 1030-nucleotide ribosomal RNA is filed under the name Oleiphilus sp. HI0080. RNAcentral's name for it is "bacterial LSU rRNA". It matches the Rfam family "Bacterial large subunit ribosomal RNA", at positions 779 to 1797 of the family's 2925-position model. Lineage: Bacteria; Pseudomonadati; Pseudomonadota; Gammaproteobacteria; Oceanospirillales; Oleiphilaceae. The record is from RNAcentral.